Long non-coding RNA from Humulus lupulus (European hop), 804 nucleotides. RefSeq lists it as uncharacterized. NCBI's taxonomy places the organism in Eukaryota, Viridiplantae, Streptophyta, Magnoliopsida, Rosales, Cannabaceae. The transcript has 3 exons. The record is from RefSeq and is a predicted model, not a curated record.
AUUUCUGAGACCCGAGACCCAUUUCCUCUCCUUCAACAUUUCUGAGACCCAUUUCCUUUUCCCAUUUCUUCAGCUUGGUACUACAUCCGAACUCCUCACUCUCUCUCUCGUCUAUCUCUAUCUCUCUGUCAACCUUCAAUUUCUAGUCGUUGGGAUCCUCGAGCGAGAAAAAGAGAAAUAAAAGGGGAAAAUCACUUUCGUUUCCUUUUUUUUAUGGUUUUUCUUUUCUUUCAUGAUCCGGUUCUGAAUUUUGAUGGUUUCUCUGAUUCCUCUUCUGCUCCGCCGUAAGAGCUACUCCGAUUGUCCCUCAGGCGUGGACUAAGGCUCGACGACUAUGGGACGUAGGCAGGGACUAAAGGUUGACGAUGAUGGGAUGCAGACGGUGCUUUGGUGGUGAGGGCUAGAUCGGUGCAGGUGGUGGUCGACUGUGUCUUGUGCAAGGUCGGGGACAGACGGGGAUUGAAGGGUGACGAAUGGGAUUCUGAUUAGACCGCAUCCAGCAAUUUGGCGCUUAGUUCAUGGCAUGGCUGUUGUUUACCUUGUUGCUCUCACAUUUUUGCUUUUUCAGUAUGGAGCUCUCAAAAGGAAAAUUGGAUUCCAGUGUGGCGGACCUCGAGAGAGAAGCUUACCCUGUUUUGGACGGACUGGGUAGAAAUAGAGGACGCUAACAUCUAUUCUCUUGACAGAUUAGUGGGCAGUUAAAAUCCUUGCAAAUUGUUGCAAGCUUGACAGCAGACUGAGAUGGUGAAAUUAGAAAAGCUGCUUUGAAUACUCUUGCCACUGGAUAUAAGAUUCUUGGUAUGU